GCAAGAGGAGGCAGAACGGUCGGCGGCUGGAGGCUGUGGGAGUUGGAGUUGAUAGAGAGCGUUUCCCAGUGCUUCAUGUGGCAGAUGCCACAUUUGCAGAUCCAGAGAGGUGAUGUGAGGCACUGGCGCAGGUGAAGCCUGAGCAGAACCCCAAAGUUGGAACUUCGGCUUAUUUACGCUCUAUCAGUUUAUGCCUCACGUAUUUUGAUGCUCCAUUGUUGGGUGCCCACACAACAAGGAAUUAUCCUGUUUUCUUGGAGUAAAGACCCUAUGAUCACUUGGACUAAUGAGGGACAUAAAAGGCAGCCACUGGUGCAGCCAGCCCAGGCCUGAAGCACCAGCGGAGAGAAGGGCUCGUCAGUAGAAUGUCCAGUCAUUGGAGCCGAGAGGAGGAAUGGGGAGGCUGCCACUGGGCUCUAAGCACUGCAGCAACUUCAGGGUGAGAACUGAGGCCAAGGGCUAUCGUAAACUCCUGGUGGGCUACAACACAGCCAUGUCCGUCUGAGUGCUGGGAUCACCAUCGCUGCCUACCUGCCCUUCAAGGUCCUUGUGGAUGUUGCUCAUUUCUCCUGCAAAGCCUACCUGUCUGGAGCUAAUUGAUAGAGGCAGCACAGAGAGACUGGUGCCAUCAGAGGAAGAUGGUCAUCGCCUUGGUUUCCAAGAGAAGGGGCCGGCCACACCAUACGGUGCAGGGCCACAGAGGGGAAGCACCAUUGCCACAGGGAGCUGGAGCCUAACUCAGAGAAGACACAUCAGCAUGGUCCCAGGGGGAAGUGAGUGCUGUCCGGCCCAGAUAGAAGUCAUUGAGACCUUCCACCUAAAGUUCUUCAUCAGCUGCUGGCUGCAGUUCAAGCUAGCCAUCUCCGACUUUCCAGGAUGUGAGGUUUUUGCCACCAAACCAGGCUUUGACACUGCUCUGGGUAGAUUUACAAGUAUUUUGAGUGUGAAAAUGGACUUGCAGAGAGUCUGCCAUGUGGACGUGUUGGGUCUGCUGCACAUUCAGCUCACAGCGGCCAUCUGUCUGGAUGAGCAGGGGUUGUUAAGAGCCCAGCCCAAGGUUUAAUUAACACCAGGGCCCUGGCCUCUGUAGCUCCAAAUGGCCGCGAGGAGGGGCUGGCAUCCUGAGCUGGGUCAUGGCCUCAGCAACCAUCUACACUGAGCAGAAAGGAGUUCAGAGGGGAAAUCCCUGGAUCAGAGUCCUCUUCUGCUGUUUCUGCCAUUCUGCCUGUGAGUGUUGAAGCUGUUCCGUCUAAGCCUCCUCCCCCCUGAAAUGGGGAUGAUGGGCCUCCUGCCUGCACGCAGCAAGUGAAAAGUGGCCAGUGUCGGUGCCGCUGUAUCACGCCAACACCUUGUGCAGGAAACAGCCGGAACACGGACUGAUGAAUGUACAAGCUUGCAAGAGGCCAGGCUGGUCCUGAGAUGCAGAGCUGGCUCUGGCAUCAUGCUUUGUCCUGCCCUAGGAGUGCCACUCAGAGGAGGAUCUGGUGAUUAGAUGAUUCUAGGACACUGAGGAAGACUGCUGGUCACAGAGAGGGUGUCCUGGCUGGGCCAGGGUCCCUGGAUGUAUCGGAAUUCUCAAGCUAUAAGAAUAAUAAUAGCAGUGCAUGGCUGAGAGAGGGGACAAGGUGGAAUGCCUUGGGGAAUUAGGGAAGCACCUCUCUUGGUCAACAUGCACGGGCUGAUGGACAAGCAUCUGAAGUACAUGAGCACGAGGAAGGCAGCUCUGGUGGGCACAGCCUCCCUCCCCAGCAGUCACUUCUCCAGAGCACAGGUCAGGGCUGAGGUGCCCUUCAGCUCCAGUCUCUAUGCCAGCUAGACCUUUUGUGCAACCACUAGACCAGCUCUGAGGUCAAGGUCUUCAGUGACCUGGAGGUUCUGGAGAACUUGGAGGUGAAAUGCAGGUCCCAUGUCAUGCAGGCCUUUGAGAGGAGACUCCUUUGGGCUGCCCAACUUCAUCACAUAUGAAGUUAGUGUGUCAGACCCUGAAGCUGGCAGAAGAGACAUUGGACAGGUUCUGCACCUUGGUCUCAACCCCCACAGCAUAAAGGAAUGGUUGACUGAAUGAGUGCUGGAGUUGCUCUGGAGAUCCCAGCGUCAGGGGUUCCUGACUGUAUGCUGUUCAGCUGU
Nycticebus coucang (slow loris) is the source of this 2127-nucleotide long non-coding RNA. RefSeq lists it as uncharacterized. The record is from RefSeq and is a predicted model, not a curated record. Lineage: Eukaryota; Metazoa; Chordata; Mammalia; Primates; Lorisidae. The transcript is spliced from 9 exons.